RNAcentral lists this ribosomal RNA (467 nucleotides) under Ovis aries (sheep). Its description in RNAcentral is "partial 12S ribosomal RNA". The record is from RNAcentral. Lineage: Eukaryota; Metazoa; Chordata; Mammalia; Artiodactyla; Bovidae.
UAUAGGUUUGGUCCCAGCCUUCCUGUUAACUUUCAAUAGACUUAUACAUGCAAGCAUCCACGCCCCGGUGAGUAACGCCCUUCGAAUCACACAGGACUAAAAGGAGCAGGUAUCAAGCACACACUCUUGUAGCUCACAACGCCUUGCUUAACCACACCCCCACGGGAGACAGCAGUAACAAAAAUUAAGCCAUAAACGAAAGUUUGACUAAGCCAUAUUGACUAGGGUUGGUAAAUCUCGUGCCAGCCACCGCGGUCAUACGAUUGACCCAAGCUAACAGGAGUACGGCGAAAAGCGUGUUAAAGCAUCAUACUAAAUAGAGUUAAAUUUUAAUUAAACUGUAAAAAGCCAUAAUUAUAACAAAAAUAAAUGACGAAAGUAACCCUACAAUAGCUGAUACACAAUAGCUAAGACCCAAACUGGGAUUAGAUACCCCACUAUGCUUAGCCCUAAACACAAAUAAUUAU